GACGAACGCUGGCGGCGUGCUUAACACAUGCAAGUCGAACGGAAAGGCCCUGCUUUUGUGGGGUGCUCGAGUGGCGAACGGGUGAGUAACACGUGAGUAACCUGCCCUUGACUUUGGGAUAACUUCAGGAAACUGGGGCUAAUACCGGAUAGGAGCUCCUGCUGCAUGGUGGGGGUUGGAAAGUUUCGGCGGUUGGGGAUGGACUCGCGGCUUAUCAGCUUGUUGGUGGGGUAGUGGCUUACCAAGGCUUUGACGGGUAGCCGGCCUGAGGGGGUGACCGGCCACAUGGGGCCUGAGAUACGGCCCAGACGCCUACGGGAGGCAGCAGUGGGGAAUAUUGCACAAUGGGCGGAAGCCUGAUGCAGCAACGCCGCGUGCGGGAUGACGGCCUUCGGGUUGUAAACCGCUUUCGCCUGUGACGAAGCGUGAGUGACGGUAAUGGGUAAAGAAGCACCGGCUAACUACGUG
RNAcentral lists this ribosomal RNA (468 nucleotides) under uncultured bacterium. Its description in RNAcentral is "partial 16S ribosomal RNA". It matches the Rfam family "Bacterial small subunit ribosomal RNA", at positions 28 to 507 of the family's 1533-position model. The record is from RNAcentral.